UACACUCCUGCGGGAGGCAGCAGUGGGGAAUAUUGCACAAUGGGCGCAAGCCUGAUGCAGCGACGCCGCGUGGGGGAUGAAGGCCUUCGGGUUGUAAACUCCUUUCGCUAGGGACGAAGCUUUUUUGUGACGGUACCUAGAUAAGAAGCACCGGCUAACUACGUGCCAGCAGCCGCGGUAAUACGUAGGGUGCGAGCGUUGUCCGGAAUUACUGGGCGUAAAGGGCUCGUAGGUGGUUUGUCGCGUCGUCUGUGAAAUUCUGGGGCUUAACUCCGGGCGUGCAGGCGAUACGGGCAUAACUUGAGUGCUGUAGGGGUAACUGGAAUUCCUGGUGUAGCGGUGAAAUGCGCAGAUAUCAGGAGGAACACCGAUGGCGAAGGCAGGUUACUGGGCAGUUACUGACGCUGAGGAGCGAAAGCAUGGGUAGCGAACAGGAUUAGAAACCCCAGUAGUCCCAUG
This 459-nucleotide ribosomal RNA is filed under the name uncultured organism. RNAcentral's name for it is "partial 16S ribosomal RNA". It matches the Rfam family "Bacterial small subunit ribosomal RNA", at positions 332 to 799 of the family's 1533-position model. The record is from RNAcentral.